AAAAAGAGAGAGAUGUGCUCGUGGUCAUUAAUAAAAAAUUAUAGUUAUGUAUAUUUAUAUAAGGGUUCUAUUACACAGUCAACGUUAGCUAUCGUUACUAUUUUAAUUAACAGAUUCUUACGGUCAAACUAAUGACUAUGGUCGCACCUCUUAGGUGCGCCUCCUUACAGCCAGCCAGUUUAAAAAGUUAAAAUAUUGACUAUUACACUAAAGAUGGAACAAAUGAGUAAUAUAUAUAUAUAUAUAUAUAUAUAUAUAUAUAUAUAUAUAUAAAAUGUACUCUUAUAUCUUAACAUAAUAAUAAAAAAAUAAUAUCAAACUUAGAAAUAUUGGAGUAUACUAAACCUAAGAGGUUCGUUCAGGUCUACACCAAAAUUAAUCUCAGCUCUCAAUUAAUUGAAUGAGUUCGGCCACAUAUUUGUUAGUUGGAAUAGUACCUAUAGUUAAAAUUAUCCGAAGAAUAUGACCCAAAAAAAUAGUUUUAUUUAUGUUUAGAAUCAAAAAAAAACUCCGGAAAAUAAAAAGUAGAGUUAAAGAUAUAGAAAACUCUCUUAAUGAAUGGGCAUAACAUAAGUCUAAUUAUUACACCUUAAAAAAAGGUGGUAGAUCUAUAAUAUUAAAAUGUAAUGUAAUACUACUACAUAAAGAUUAUUGAGCAUACUAAUGUGAUGGUAUUAGCCUAUUAGGAGUAGAGCCCAUAAAACAUGUUGCGACAAAGUGCCGG
RNAcentral lists this long non-coding RNA (724 nucleotides) under Panax ginseng (ginseng). Its description in RNAcentral is "long non-coding RNA (PGIN_LNC002256)". The record is from RNAcentral. Lineage: Eukaryota; Viridiplantae; Streptophyta; Magnoliopsida; Apiales; Araliaceae.